RNAcentral lists this long non-coding RNA (214 nucleotides) under Elaeis guineensis (African oil palm). RNAcentral's name for it is "long non-coding RNA (EGUI_LNC005090)". The record is from RNAcentral. Lineage: Eukaryota; Viridiplantae; Streptophyta; Magnoliopsida; Arecales; Arecaceae.
UUUUUAUGUUUUGCCCCCAAUAUGUUAUUGUUUUAGGUAUUUUUAUUAAUUUUGAUUUGUAGUUUGAGCAUUAGUCUAUUUUGUUUGUUUUUUUUUUGUGGUGUCUUUUUUUUUAUAUGAACAAGCUAGCAUCAUGCCAAAUUAAGUCCAAUGUUUUGGUCCCAUCAAAAAAAAAAUCUAAUAUUUUGGACUCUUGAGCCAUUAGACCUUAAUG